UACGGGGGGGGCAAGCGUUGUUCGGAAUUACUGGGCGUAAAGGGCUCGUAGGCGGCCAACUAAGUCAGACGUGAAAUCCCUCGGCUUAACUGGGGAACUGCGUCUGAUACUGGAUGGCUUGAGUUUGGGAGAGGGAUGCGGAAUUCCAGGUGUAGCGGUGAAAUGCGUAGAUAUCUGGAGGAACACCGGUGGCGAAGGCGGCAUCCUGGACCGGCAUUGACGCUGAGGCGCGAAAGCUAGGGGAGCAAACGGG
This 253-nucleotide ribosomal RNA is filed under the name uncultured bacterium. RNAcentral's name for it is "partial 16S ribosomal RNA". It matches the Rfam family "Bacterial small subunit ribosomal RNA", at positions 524 to 776 of the family's 1533-position model. The record is from RNAcentral.